This 12486-nucleotide long non-coding RNA is filed under the name Homo sapiens (human). Its description in RNAcentral is "non-protein coding lnc-NXPH1-2:20". The record is from RNAcentral. Lineage: Eukaryota; Metazoa; Chordata; Mammalia; Primates; Hominidae.
ACUGCAUCAACUAACGAGCAAAAUAACCAGCUAACAUCAUAAUGACAGGAUCAAAUUCACACAUAACACUAUUAACUUUAAAUGUAAAUGGACUAAAUGCUCCAAUUAAAAGACACAGACUGGCAAAUUGGAUAAAGAGUCAAGAACCAUCAGUGUGCUGUAUUCAGGAAACCCAUCUCAUGUGCAGAGACACACAUAGGCUCAAAAUAAAAGGAUGGAGGAAGACCUACCAAGCAAAUGGAAAACAAAAAAAGGCAGGGGUUGCAAUCCUAGUCUCUGAUAAAACAGACUUUAAACCAAGAGACAAACUUAGGCACAUUAAAUUUUUUAAAGAGUUUAUUUGAGCAAACAGCGAUUCAUAAAUCCGCCAGUGCCAGAUCACUAGCAAUUCAGGGCUCCACAGAGGUGCUGUGAAGGGAAAAUUGUAUAAGAUGUUCUGGCAAGCAAGACAGAGAAAAUAUUUGAUUAAAGUGGAAAGUCCCUAGUUAGAGGUUUCUGGCAGUUUCUGAUUGGUUAACCCUGUUUUGCUGUCCUAGGCUGUGACCCUUCACUUUGAGUUGGGUUUCACUUUGCUGAUGUAGGUACUCAAGGUUCUGGAGCUGUCUCAGGCUAAUGGCCUCCCAAUUAAUUUUUGUAAAACAACUUUCAGCAAAAUUCUUCAGAGGGAGGAUGGGUUCAAAAAUGCCCCAAGAUUCAUCUUGGCUACACACAGAGUGGUAACCAGUAUUUACCUCCUUACUCAGGGAUCAUCUCACUUGUCAUUUUGCAAGAGAAGAGGAAGAAAGAAUAACCUGCUACUCUUCUAAACUCUACUUGGAAAAUUGCAGGAAUUUUAUCAGCCAUCCGUGAGCACAAGAAGAUAUAAGCAAAAGCCACACAGAGAGAAGACCUGUUCUAGACUCUUAUCAGCCAAACACAAUGCCCAAGAAACAGCUAGAAGGUUUCAUUUAACCAGAGAAGAGCUCCUGCUUUGAAAUGUUUUCAAAGUUUCCAUGACAAAAUAUUCUUUCACAGUCUCUGCUUCAGUGAGCUGCUUUGUAUUUCUAGCGCAGCUAAGCAAUUAAAAGAAGAUGAAUAGAUGUAUUCCGGCAUGUGUGAUAACAAAUGGCAUACUUAAGGUGACAAGGUUUUCUGUGUUAACUGGCUUUGCAGUCACUUGCAAGUUUUUGAAAAAUACUCCCUUUUAUCGGAAGUUUUUCCCUUCUUAAUCUCAGCUUAAAGGCUAUUUUUUCUCAAAGCAAAUUGGAGGAGGACUUUUGAAGUCAUCUUUGAUGGGACAAAAUAUAUGUACAUAUUCUCUCUGUGCAAAGGAAUUGCUGCUUUUCUUAUGACAGCUUAAAAUUGAUAAAGUUUUAAGCAUCAAGACAUUCACCAUUACAAAAGAUGCUCAUGUGUCUAUGAAUGAUGAGACUUCCACAGGAAACCAAGGUGGUCCAUUUAAAUUGCUACUCUAUGGCUCCUGUUGGCAGUAAUGUUCAUGUAAACUGGAGAGGCUCUCCAAAGAUCUUGAACUCAGGACAUUUUUGGAUCUAGACUAUUCUUAGGGACAGGAAAUAAUGGGAAUUUAGAUACCAUUUUGAUUGCAAGUUGAUGGAAAGUUGGCAUGUAAGCCUUUUAAAUUUAAUCUUCAGUUCUCAUUAAGUCUGUUUUAUUUUCUCUUUUUUUUGUGUUUUUGUUUUGAAAAUUAACCUACCCUGGACUUCAGUUAGGAUCUCUCUAGUUAUAUGAACUUAUGUUUAUUAAAUCUGAUCAUUAGAAUCCUAGGAAAUACUACCCUCCUGCUUGGCUUACGUACUAUUUUGUAGCUUCAGAAAACAGGCCAUGUGGUGUAAGGUAAUAUAUAUCAACUUGGAGGAAAACAAACCUGGAUUCAGAUUCUGACUCUGCCACUUUUGACUCUGUGACCUUCAGCAAGUUACUUGACCUCAUUUAGCUGGCAGUUACAGAUGUAAAAAUGAGGACACGGGAUUGACCACAUUCUCUAAGGGUGGUAAUACGGCCCAGUGGUUAAAAACUUAUCUUUGUGAUCAGGUAGACCUGGAUUUGAUCAACCUCUUCCAUUUCAUAACUGUGAAAUCUUGAGAAUUUUAUUUAAUCUUUAUAGGCUUGCUUAUUAUCUCAAACAAAUUAAAUUUUAAAGUGAAAGUAACUACCUUAUAGGAUUGCUGUGCUGGUAAACUCGUAAGGUUGCUUAGAGGGUUGCUUUUAAUCCUUGGAGGAUUAAAAGUCAUAUGCAAGUGCCUGAUAAAGACCAGUUCAUAUUGGCUGAGAUCUCUUACCCUAAAAAUAUUAUGUACCAUUCUAAGGUCCUUGAUAAAGAUUCAAAUCAUAGAACAUUGAAUGGGUUUCAGAUUACCUAAUCUAAAUUUCUGAUUUUAUACAUAAAAAACACUCCAUGGAGAGACUAAGUGAAAUGCUCCAAAUCCCACGCCAAUAUCUCACACUUGAGUCUUUACUAUAACAGUAAGUAUACGUGGCACAUUCAACAAAUAUGCUGUUCAUUCCAAGAAAUUCCAUAUAGAGUAUUUCACCUCCAAAUCAGUGAACUCACCAAAACAUUCUUCUUGUAUGGGAACAAAGAGGUCCUUGUGAUCACAAUAUUCUCCUUCCUACCUAAAAUAGCAAACUUUCCAUGAGUAACCAAUGAAAUAGACAAAAAGAAGAGUUAAGACAUUUAGCAAGACAGAGUGCUUUGUCUAGUCUGAAUCCACCUCUGCCUUUCAGUAAGUGAAAAAAAAGUAUCCGCAGACCACUCAUCAGAGGUGUGGUGAAAUUUUUAUGUUGAAUGCUUACAUUUUGUAUUCCAAUUUUCAUCCCCUCCACAGAAAAUGUUUCCAAUCUUCUCUAUCCAUAAUUCUUUGAUGAAUUAUUUUCGUUGUACUUUCCUGGGAACAUUUUGUCCCUUGGUUCCAUUUUAGACACUUCACUUCAUUAGGCUAAACUAGUUUCCAAUUGGAGAAAAGAGAAAAUGUGAAAAUUCAACCAUAAAAACAAAUACAUAUUACAUAAUUUUUACCUGGUGAAGUUACCUUGCUGAGUGUUUUGGCUAACUGGUGCCUUUAGAUACAGUCAAUCUUACUAUCUGGUAUACCUUUUGAAGAGGUUAGAGCAUGUCCCAGCUCUUUAAAACUCUGAAGUGGGAACAUUAAAUGACAGAGUGCCUUCUAGUAUGGAUAUGGCCUGCAUGGCAAACACAUCUUGCUAUUUCACAGUUCCUUGCACAGUGUCUUUUAAAGAUAUCCCCUGUCUUCAUUCUCCUCACUUUCCACCCUCUCCUUCUACAGUGGAAAAGAACCUUAUGCAAAGGCAUAGAGAACAAAUACUGUAUUGGAUUUAUCUACAAAGCAUGUUGAGGCUGGAGCCGUAAUGUUUACCCAUAUUCUACAAUCUCCAUCUGAGUAAAUAAAGUGGCAUCGAGGGAUAGGCUGCUCUACAGAUAACGAGUUUUAAACUCAUUCACCCUGAGAAAUUUCAAUUGAUAUAGUUUGCCUAUUAAAUGGAUUUAAAAUUGUAUUGUCACUACACUGCUUUCUAUGGCGAUUUCUGCAGCUCCGUGGUUCCAUGCCUCAAUAGAUGGUUUGAUUGUAUAUAUCUGCUGCUUUCUUCCUAUGAUUCUGUUCAUAAUGGUCUGUAAUGUACGACCCUGCUAUCCAGUUAUAAAGCUGAACAUAACCCCUUCUGUGCUUUUAACUAAGGAACUUAUCUGUUUCUAGUGCUAUUUUCCAAGAGUAAAAGUGGAUAUCCUUUUUGCUGAGGACUUUUUCUCUCUCUCUCUUUCUUUCUUUCUCUCUCUCCCUCUCUUUCUUUUUUCCCUUCCUCCUUCCCUCCCUCCCUUCCAUUUUUUUCUUUGAUCUAUGUCUCUUUCUUCGACAAUGGGCUUGAUGAAUAUUUCUGCUGAAUUUUCGUGAAAAGAAGAUAAGUUAUCAAUGCAUUUUCUACUUGUUAAUGGCUUCAGUGGCCCAUCAUUUAUUAUCUGAGUGCUGUGUGCCCUGAAUAGAUGGUGGAGAAGAUGAGGCAGCCUUUUACUUGGCAAUCUGCCCCCCAACUGUCAGGGAAUAGCCUUGGAUCUUUUAUUGAAAUCAAGGACUGUCCUGUGCUUCAUGCUUCACUGGUUCCAGGAAUGAGUCUGGGAUUAUAUCCUGUCCCUCUGGAAACACAAUCAGCUACAUUUCCCUCAAAUGCCUAGGUUUCACUUUCAGGCUCAAUUAUCUAUAAAAAGAACUUCUACAGCAAAGAGAUUUCACCAUAGAGAAAUGAUAUUAAGUCAAAUGGAAUAUUUAAAAAACCAUAUUCCAAACUGUCUCUGAUAACGUAAUAUUAACUGAAGUCUGCAGUUGCAGAAUAAAAGUAAAACAAAAACAAACCUGAAUUCUGAUGCUUUCUCAAAGGAUAGAUUGUUAAACUGCCUUGCUCGAGUUAGCCCCAGCGUUCUCUCUACAAAAUCAUCCGUUUAACCACUCUCUCUGACUAAAAUUCUUAAAAAAUCAAUAUCAGCAUUAUCCAUUUAUUAAAUUUGAUGUUGACUCAAAAUGACGAGGUGUAGAACAUCAUUGAAUUUUAAACUGACCUUGACAUGUAGAAGAAAUGGGCAGCUAUAAACAGGGUGAACUGGCUUAAUGUAGAGAGAAGGUGAGAGAGAAAGACUAUGCAUGCAUAUACCAGCAGGGCAGAACAGCUGGUACAUACACAGUAGAAAACAGGUCAGGAGACAUAGGAGUCACUUCAUUCCAGAUUUGCCUUAAAUGUUACCUCCUUAGAGAAAGCUUCUCUUUGACUACCCUAUUAAAUAUAGAACCCUAAGUCACUCUCCAUCCCUUAACUCAGCUUUAUUUUUCACCAUAUAUAUAUAUAUAAUCAAAUAUAUUAAAAUACGUGUAUUUUUAAAAUGUGGUUAUUAUCUGAAUUUUUCCAUUAGAAUACAAGCUCAAUGAAGGCAAUAGCUUUGUUUAGUUCACUGCUGUAGCCUCCACACUUUGAGUAGCACCUGGCAUUACAUAAGCAUUUGUUGAAGCGAUUAACAAAAAACGAAUAUUAUAAAUUGAUUAUGUUUCCUUGCAGCUGGAUGGCUUAGCCUGAAGUAUGGAUUGCUAGUAAUUCCUCCAGUCACUCAACAUUUUUUAGGUUUUAUAUAAGAACUUUACUCUGGCACACAAUGGUGUAAUGUUAGAAACUUGGCACAGAUCUUGUAAACAUGGUCGAAAACUAGGUAUUCUUCAGCAUUUGCAUGAAUUUCCUAUGGGGUCUAUUACAUUUAGACAAAUUAAGGUGGAUUAUCUUAGGGAAAUAUUUCCUAUAUUUCCUCUUAGGGAGGAAAAUGUAGCACAAGUGUGAGGUUUAAUAGCACCUAUUGAACAUAUGCAGAAAUAUCUAAUAUUUAAUGACCGAUAAUGGCUAACAUUUCUAGAGUGACAGUGUUUUAACUAAUUUACAUUUAUUAGCUCUCUUAAUCCUCACAACAGCCACUUGAGGUAGAUCUUAUCAUUAGCCCCUGCUACAUAGUAAUGGAUUUGGCUGGACUUUCUCCCUGGUCCAUGGAAACAAAGAAGCCUCUAAAUCCUUAGAUACUUCCUGAGUGAUAGUGUCUUUGCUCUUCAUGGUGGGUCCUGAUAGAUUAUGCUAAUGAGAUGGCUCAUGGUGGGUCCCUAGAUAGUUUCAGGAUGAGGGCUGACUAUGCUGGAAAGACCGGCCAUGUGAUUAAAGGACUGACCCAUACGAUAUCAGUCCAACCUCUUGGGAGGGAAGGCAGGCUAAAGGCUGAGUUCAAUCACAUGGUCAAUGAUUCUGUCAAUCAUGCCUAUAUAAUUAUAUAUGCCUCAUUAUAUAAUGAAACCCCAAUAAAAUCUGUGGACACUGAAGCUUGAGUGGGUCUGGCAUGUCGUGACCCCACAAGGAGAAGUCAUGGAAGCUUUGCACAGAGAUCCUCCCAGACCUUGCUCUGUGUGUCUUUUCUUUUUGCUGAUUCUAUUAUAAUAAAACUGUGAGAGUAUAGCACAUACCUGAGUUCUGGGAGUUGUUCCAGCAAAUUAUCAAACCUGGAGAGGUAGUGAAAGCCUCCAAACUUGAGGCCAUUUGGUCAGAAGUGCAGGUGGCCUGGGAAUCCCUGAGUUUGUGGCUAGUGUUUGAAGUGAGGCCAGUCUUGUGGAGGUCUGAGCCCUUGUUCUGUGAAAUUUUACCUAACUCCACGUAAUUAGUGUCAGAAUUGCAUUGUAGCCCCACUUUCCAGAUGAAGAAACAGAGGCAUGCAGAGGUCAAAUAAUUUGCCCAAAGUCUCACAGCUAGUAAAGUGGCAGCAUCAGUAAUCAAAUCCAGGAUAUUGUAGGGGAGAAAAAAAUAUUUUUCUCUCUACUCUUCAAAGUUCUUGGACCCUUGUAAGCUGGGGCCCCUAUAACAAAAGACCUAUUAACAAGAGAAAAACAAACAGCCAUUUAUUAACAUGUGUGCUUCCUAUAUACCUGGGAUAAAAUUCAAGGAAAGAGUAACUCUGAGGUGGCUUGGAAUUCAGGCUUAAAUAUCAUCAUCAGCUAAAGAAAAAAUAAAAAGGAUGUAGGGAAGGCCAGUUAUGGGAAGGUAGCCAGAAAAUGUGUAUCAGCAAGAAUGAGGUUUGGUCCUGUGAUUUAGUCAUUUUUUUUCUUCCUGGAAAGAAGAGAGGAGAUCAGAGUGGAAGGUCAUCCUUGAAAAUGGAGAUUUAUUUUACAAAUGUAAAUUUACAUUACAAAAGGGUAAUUUCUAGUGUUUUCAGACCUUUUCCUGUGUCUGCUGUUUCUCAAAAUCAUCAGCUCGAAAUAAUCCUUAAGCAAAAGUGUCGUAUUUUUAGGGUGGCAUAUCUGUUGCCUGUAGUCUGCCUGCAAAAGUUUUCUGCUCUUAAUCAUUAGGCAGUUCUCUGUCUCAAUUGAAGAGCUCAUUUCAGUUUUCAACAGAUGUAGAAUUAUAAUGAAUCAGUUAGAAUUCAUUAAGCUACUCACACCUUGAUUUUGAACUUCUGCCCUUCAGAACUGUGAGAGAACACAUUUCUAUUGUUUUAAGCCACACAGGUUGUGGUAAUUUGUUACAACAGCCCUGGGAAACUAAUACAGUAUCUUAAGUUUAAUAUGACUAAAACAGAACUCUUGCUCUGCCCCCACCCAAAACCCACAUCCCCACAGUCUUAGUUUCUCAGUAGGUGGUAAUUUUAUCCUUCCAGUUGCUAAAACGAAAAUUUGAGGAGUCAUUCUUGAUCCUCUUUUCCUUAUCUCCCACAUCUAAUGUUUUACAGACCUGUUGCUUUUAUCUUCAAAACAGAUCUGCCUUUUCCACCUCCAUUUAUUUGCAACUCCAUGAUUGCUACCUUGCUCACAGCCACCAUCAUCUCUGGCCUGGACUACAGUAAUACCUUUCUUACUGAUCUGUCUCCUUAAGCUCUUGCCCCAUUAUGCCUAAAAUAAAAUCCAAACUUCUUACCCUGGCUUGCAAAACACUGCAUACAGGGGUUCUUUUUGUUUCUCAAAUAGAACAGCUCAUUCUCAUUCUCACCUUGGGCCUUUGCUCUAGUUGUUCCCUCUGCCUGGAAUGCACUUCCCUUUCAAGAUGCAACCAGUUUCUUGUUAAUUAUAUCUGAACUUCAGUGUUACCUUCCUUUGGACACCCUUUUCUGAUCAGCUGGUUUAACCAGCCUUCCUAGUAGUUACUCUCUGCUACAAUAGCCUAUUAACAUUCUUUGCACUGUACUCGUCGUUACCUAACAUUUUUCUUCAUUUGUUCACCUAUGCUCACUAGAAUGCAAGCUCUGUGAGAAUAGAGAACGUACUUACCUGGUUCACCACCACUUUGCCAAUGCCUGAGCAGUCAUUGGCAUAUAAGAGGAACUCAUAAAUAUUUGUUAAAUGAAUAACUCCCAUCCUCCCCAUCCCUCACAACUAUAUGUGAAGAAAUGAUGACACAGGUUUUCAAGCAUAGGUUCUGAAGUUUUGGGUGAAUCAGCUAGAGAAGAGUGAACAAUAACCUAACAGGCUCCCUUUUUUUGAUAAGAGUCUUUUAUACAUUUUGGCUUUUCUUUUGGGUUUGUCAAGUUCUCCCUUCUAUUGACAUAUACUGAACCCCCCCAACUGGGAUGAUUACAUAUCAAGAAAAAAAUACAUACUUCUUUCUCAAAAACGUGUAUGGCACCUCUAACAUUGUUAGUACUUGUGUGUGUGGGGAGGUUACUUAUAAAAAGUAAAUGAAUAAAUGUGCUCUUAAUUAGCACCCCCAAGCAAUUAAAACUGAUUGAAGCAUGACUAAUUUAAUCAUUCUAAAUCACCUACACAGUGAAAAUAAUUUUUACAGUUCACUUAAAUUCAGAAAUUUUAGAAACUUUGAUUGUUAUUAGAAAAUAAUAAAAACAAAUCAAUACAUUUCUGAUAAAGGACUACUUUCUAAAGAAGCACUUAACGAUUGUCUUAACCCUCUCUCUUUAAAAUAUGAAUUUCAAUUCAAUAUCUGUUUAACUCAUACUUUUAGAAGUCAAAUUUUAGAUUGAUAUGAAAAUGCUUGAUAAAUUCAUACAAUAUUCGAAUACAGGUAAUAUUCUAACACCAAACUGCCUGUUUUGUAUAGUCUGCGAGCUAAGAGUGUUUUCUACAUUCUUAAAUGUUUGAAACAAAAUUCAAAGAAAGAAUAUUUUGAGACACGUGAAAAUUAAAUGAAAUUAAAAUUAAAGUUAAUUAAAAUGAAAUGAAAUUAAGAUUAAAUUAAAUUUCAGUGUUUAUAAGUAAAGUGUUAUUGAAACAGUCAUGUUUAUUUACUUAUAUAUUGUCUAUGGCUGCUUUCUCAUUACAAUCACAGGGUUAAGUAGUGGUGACAGAGACCAUAUAGCCCACAAAGCUUAGAUAUUUGUUAUUGGGCUAUUCGUAAAAAAUUAGCUGACCCUUGUCCUAAGAUAGAAAAACCUUUGAAUAAUAUUCUUAUUGCUCUGUUUAUCUUAAUCAUCUAAUUAAAAGACAACAAUGUGGUAUUUUAAAAUUCAAACCAGUAUUUUCUUGUAUCUAAGAACUGGUGCCAUUCAGAGUAAGAACAGCAAAACAAACAGAGCUACAUAUACUUGUUAUACAUCAAAUAUUACAGCAUAUAACUAUAGAACCUAUUAGUUAAAAUGGUCUUUCCUAGACUACGUGGAAAUAGGAGACUGUCUUUGUUAAGGCAUCUAUUUAUAUUCAGAUGCGGUGCUGUGACACAAAGAAGAAUGAGGAAGUCCUUACUCUCUAGGAGUUCGUGAUCAAGCAGAAGUUCACAUUCUUAUUUAAUUCCCAUGCAACUUAAUGAGACACAUCACUAUUUUAGAAGUGAGGCAACAGAAAUGCAGAUAUUUGCUUAACAGAAAUGCAGAAAUUUGUUUAAGACACCCUGAAAAUAUUUGAAAUUCUUGUGUUUAUUUUUCUGGAUUCAAGUUAACAUAGUAGUAAAAUAUAGAGCUACACUUUUACAAAUGGUAUAGAAAGAAGGAAGAACCUAAGGACAGUCCACACCUGGCCAGUCCCUGUCAGAAUGGAUUCCUGGGCAUGUUGUUUGUUUCAACAUCUGAUAGAUUCCUAUGUAUAUUCCAGGUUUAACGUGGUUAAGGGCUAAGCACAGGAGGCAGGGAAUGGGAGGGCAGUAGACUGCCUGUUUUCUAAAGAAGUGUGUCCUUUAGAAAAUAUAUUUCAAUGGAUCGCAGACACCAUACCAACUUUCCACUUUAAAAAAAAUCUCAAAAUAGACUCUGUGCAGCCCUGGAAAGUGUAACAACAUAAGGGAAACAGCUGGGGGGCUGAGAGAAGCUCUGAAGUCUGACCUAUCUCAGAUAUGGAUGUGAUGACCUACUUUCAUUCCAGGUAGAGAAUAAAUUCAGAUAACCGUAUAUGCUGCCGUCCUGUGGAGCUCACAUAUGGCCUUACAGUAAAUGGGCAUGCUGCUGGAGCUCAGAGCAACCAUGUUUAUAUUAUAGAUGCACUGAUAGUCAUCUCUGUGGUCCCAACUGGAAAGGCAAUUCAGAAGAAUAAAGGUUUACACUGUAGACUGUCAUUGUGAGAAGAAAAUGACUCCUCCCUCUGGCCUGAGCUAUUUUUGUAACUAGGAAAUUUAAGAGAAAAUGAACAAUAUAGUCAGAAGAGCAGAGAAGGAGGAGCAUAAACUCUUGCCCCACACCUCUGGGAACCAGCUGAUUCAGACCACUUUCCUCAUAACACGCAUGGACUUGCUUAUUUUGCUCAUUGAUUCAUUUAAACUUCAAUAUACACUUUUGUCCCCUAGGAUGGCAGAUCCCAAUUAGAACUGAAAUGACUUUCUCAAAUGAGAUUUCCCAGAAUCAUAUAAAAAAAAAUAUUACUGUUAACUAUAGUCAUCCACUAUAGUUAAGAAUAUUAUAUAGAUUUAAAUGGCUAGAGGUGAGGUUAUUGUAUGUUUUCAACACAGACAUGAUAAAUGUUUGAGAUGAUGGAUAUACUAAUUAUCCUGAUCUGAUCACUAAACAUUAUAUGUAUCAAAUCAUCACUAUGUACACUGUAAAUGUGUACAAUGAUUAUUUGUCAGUUGAAAAAUUAGAAAAAUAGCCCCCAGUAAAGUUCAAUCUCAAAGAAAAAGCAUAUCCAAGAGUAGUACAAUAAACACACAUAAACCUAAACCCUAUAUAUAAUUAUUAACAUUUUGUCACUUUUGUGCUUGUAUGCUCUCUCUCUGUUGCUAUUCAAUGUAAGAACAGCUCUCUUGGGAUAUGUGGAUACUAAUGGCUCUUAGCAGUCAGAAGAAAUCUUAAGUAUUACCUUCUCAUGUACAGUAGGAAAAAAAUAUAUAACAUAUAUGUAUAUUUUUGUUUUCCUGAACAAGCUGAGAAUUCGUUGCAGGUUUCCUGGUGCUUGCCUCUUCUGCCUGUGUUUGCUAGGAAAUGGACAUUCUUUGACAUAACCAAACAUCAAUAUCACACUCAAGAAAUCAACAUUAACACAACACUAGUAUCUAAUUUCUUGUCCAUAUUCAAAAUUUCACAAUUGUUCCAAAAAUGUCCUUUAUAGGUGUUUAAAAAAGUUUGAAAAAUUAAAAAAUUAAAAUUGCAUUGGCAUGUCAUGCCUCUAUGGGUCUUUAAUUUAGAACUUUUUUUUUGUCCUUUUGGCCUUUUGAAGAGUCAAGGUUGGUCAUUUGACAGAUGUCUAAUGAUUUUCUUAUUAUUCAGAUUAAACUUUUUUUGGCAGAAAACUACAGAAGUGAUGUUGUAUAUUGUCACCCUAGGGUAUCUAAUUAGGAGACGCAUUAGGUCAGUUUGUUCUUUUAUUGGUUAUGCUAAAUUUGAUCUUUUGAUUAAAGUGAGGUCCAUCAGAUUUCCCCACUAUCAAAUAUACCUUUCUUCAUUAAAAUUAAUAAGUAAUUGAAGGAGAAAUAAUUUCAGAUUGUGUUACUAUCCUGUUCUUCAACAGUCUUUCAUCUGUGCUUUUGGCAUCUAUUACUAAUUAUUAUCUCAAUCAAUUAUUACUAUGGUGGUUGCAAAUGGUGAUUUUUGAAUUCUAUUAUUCCUUCUUAAUUUAUUAGUUAGAAUUAUUUUGCAAAACAGAGCUUUUGCUUGUCCACUCCACUUAAAAUAUUAUUUAUUUAUCAUUGUUAAACAUAUAAACAUGACCACACACACAUAUAUAAUAUAUAUACACAUUUUAUAUUUGUAUGGAAUCAUGAAUUAAAAAAAUUCAUUUUGUUAUUAUUUGUUUCUGCCAUUCUUCAUUAUGAUACUUGAGUCAUAAUCUUUUAAAUUUAGAUCCACACUAACUUAUUCCUGCUGAUGGGAAUGUGGGAUCUGUGUGACUGAGUCUAGCCUGGAACAGAGCUUUCCUGGGACAUACUAACUAUGGCUCUUAAGAGGUGAAGAGAUCUUAACCAUUACCUUCUCAUGGACAGUAGGAAUUAUCUGCACAAUGUCUUAUAUCCAUUGGUGGGAAGAGUCUAUACUAUUCUAUUUGCUCUCGUCUCUGGAAUGCCUAUCUUCUUCCCAACAGAGAUGCCCUUAUGCUUCUGAUUCAUCACACAUCUUCUGCCAUCUGGUGGUAGGUUGCUAAGCAAACAAGAAGAGACCAGGCAAAGUCUUUACAAUAUUUGGAGAACACAGUAGGACCUGUGCUGUCCAGAAAACAUAAAAUGAUGGUGUCCAAAUGGCAGGUCAUUUUUUAAAAGUAGGACUCUUAAAUGCAUGUGACUUUUUGGAAGAAGAAAGAAGAUGAGAAGCAUUUAUGGGUCUCUGUGCUGAGGUCUGUCACAAACGCUACCCAAGUUAAACCCCAAGAAGUUCUAGGAGGUAGAUGCUAUUAUCCUCAUUGUAUAGAUCAGAAAAGGGAGAAUUAAAUAUUUUGUCAUGGCCAUGCAUCUUCUAAGUGGUAGAGACAAUAUUUGAAACAAAUUUACCUGACUUUGAAGCCUGGAUUCUUUCCUUUCACUGCACUGACUCUAAAGUGUAUUUGUUUUUGUGUUUGUAUGUGUGUGCGUGAGUAAACAUAGAGGAUACUAUCUGCUGUGUAA